GACAGAGGCCUCGAGCGUUAGGCGGAAUCACUGGGCUUAAAGCGUGUGUAGGCGGACGCCUAAGUGUCUUGUGAAAUCCCACGGCUCACCCGUGGAACUGCUGGGCAUACUGGGCGUCUUGGGCCAUUCAGGGGCAACUGGAACAAGCGGUGGAGCGGUGAAAUGCGUAGAUAUCAGGAGGAACACCGGUGGCGAAGGCGGGUCUCUGGGCCGAUACUGACGCUGAGGAGCGAAAGCGUGGGGAGCGAACAGG
Molecule: ribosomal RNA, 253 nt
Filed under: uncultured bacterium
Lineage: Bacteria
Description: partial 16S ribosomal RNA
Rfam family: Bacterial small subunit ribosomal RNA
Source: RNAcentral